RNAcentral lists this long non-coding RNA (18579 nucleotides) under Durio zibethinus. RNAcentral describes it as "long non-coding RNA (DZIB_LNC000858)". Lineage: Eukaryota; Viridiplantae; Streptophyta; Magnoliopsida; Malvales; Malvaceae. The record is from RNAcentral.
GCCAACUGUAACGGUGACUCUAUCGCCACAUCAUAAACCUUCGACGACAAAAUAUUCGUUAAAUACUCCAUCGCAUUUACUACGUCGCCGUUUCCUUCAUCCAUUGAACGUUCCGGUACCGCGCCUAAGUAACCUGACGGAUACCGCAGGGAAUUAGCAGACACCUUCUUCGGCGGCGAAGAAGGAACCACAGCAGAAGUUGGACGACGACGAAACGACAGCGUUAUCGAGAGAAGCAACGUUCUGAGAAGGGAUAUCAGCCGUCGGUUUCGACACAGCGGCUCUGAUCCACGGGCGGAUACAAUUCUUUGUAAUGUGGCGCCCAGUAAAUGAUGUAGUCGGGACCCUCUCUUUGUUGCGGAGUAGCGGCGGAUGAGGUGGCGUGAGGCGAAGAGCCUCCAUUGGUUUUAAAUUUUUGAAAAUUUAAAGAAAAAAAAUAGAAAAACCAAUGAGAAAACGUUGUGGUGAAAAGAAAAUACGCUUUCUGACUCUAAGACGUCGGGCGGCUUUUGGAGGGGACCUUAUAGUUUAUAAAGACAAAGGAGGGAGGGUAAAUGGUUUUUCAUUUGGCGCAAUUUUUGGAGUGAACAAAUGGAGGCUAUGAAAGAUUGACACCUGGUGAAAAUGACGUAAGCAUGUCAGUGUACCUGACGGGUUUCGUUCACUGCGGGUGACGGAUGGUAAGUGUUCUAUUUUAAAAUGCACAAGGAAGGAGUGUGCUCCGUUGACUCGAAACUCAAUACCGUGAGACAACAGACCAGACACGCUGUGUGGAAAGAAAGAUGGAGCGAGUUUCAUUCAAUUUCAAGUACGUUUUCCGUUGAAAUUUCCUUUUUAUUUUUUAUUUUAAGAGAAGAAAAUUCACACCCUUCCAAUAGGUAUUGUUGAGUCUCAAAUGUGAAAUUUUCAUAUUUGUUAGGAUGCAUUUCAAUGUAAAAAGAAAAAAAAGCUAACAAAUAUAUUUUUAAUUUCAUGAUAUAAAAAAUGAAACACUUUAUCUGUAAUUAUAUAAUCAUAAUUUAAAUUUAUUUAAAAUUUAUUGCUUAUAAAUAUAGCACUGAGGAUUUUACGUAAUAUUUUAUGAUUAAUUAAUUUUAUGACAUUAAUUUCAUAUAAUAUUCUAAAAAAAGAGAAAAACAUUGUUUCAAGGUGACAAUCAAUGUCAUGAAAUACAAUGUUAAAAAUGGAUUUUUGUUAUUUGUCUUGGGUUGUUUCUGUUAGCUUAUUAGAAUUAUUGAUUGUUAUGUCAUGGGAAAAUGACUACAAAGUUAGGCCAAAUUAACAAAGACUAUUGUCAAAGUUUAAUUAUAUAAAAUUAAGGCCAAACAAAGAUUAGCUCAAUCUAUGCCUAAGAUUAAAAAUCUUUCAUUAGUGGCUGAGAAAAUAUGAAACAUUACUCGAACACUACUAAAUCAUCAUCUUAAUCAAGAGAGGACAUUCUAAAAUCUUUACUAUAAAAUUAGGCCAACGAGUAUUGUCAAAUCUUAAUUAUAUAAAAUUAAGACCAAACAAAGAUUAGCUCAAUCUAUGCCUAAACUUAAAAAUCUAUAAAAUUUCAUUAGUGGCUAAGAAAUUACGAACGUUCCUCGAACACUAAUAAAUCGUCAUCUUAAUCUGAAAAAUGACAUACUAAAAUCUUUACUACAAAGUUAGGCCAAAUUAAGAAAGAUUAUCGUCAAAGCUUAAUUAUAUAAAAUUAAGGCUAAACAAACAAUGAUUAGCUCAAUCCCCACCUAAGCCUAAAAUAUCUAGAAAUUUUCAUUAGUGGCUAAAACUUAAUAAAUGUUACUCGAACACUACUAAAUCAUCGUCUUAAACUAAAAAGAGACACUCUAAAAUUCUUAAAUUUAGGUGAAUUUCGAUUAAUGUUUUGUUAAUUUAUUACUUGUUUAUAAUACAAUAAUAAUUAUAUCAUAUCCGUUGAAUAAUGCUCAUUAAAUUGUAUAAUUUGUAUUCGUAUAACUAAUGUUGUAAAAAAGUAAACAUUGUUUGUCAUUAAUUAAUACUAAUUAUGCUGUGGACUAAUGCUUGACUUCAUCGCCUUAGAUACGGUGUUGUGAAUUUAAGUCAUUUUAAAUUAGGGAAUGGUCAUGUGGGUUUAAGUCAUUUUAAAUUAGGGAAAUAGAAGGAAGGUGGAUAAGUAUGUGCAUGUGAAUUAAAGUCAUCAGUUUUGUACAAAAAAUAUUGUAAAAAUUCUUACUUAACACAAAAGAGGUGGCCAUAUGCUAAAAAAGUAAUUAAGGAUAUAAAUAGUAGUAUAAUCGAUUGAAUUUGAAUCGAUAUAGUAUUAAAUUUGAGUUUGAAUUUUACUUUAAAUUUGAGAUUUAAAAUUCGAUUUGAAUUCGAUUAAAUUUUAUUUUUUUAGUUAAAGUUCAAUUCGAAAUAAAAAUUAAGUCAUUGAGCUCGCUUGAUUAACAUGUAAAAAUAAAUUUUAUUUUAUAUUUGAUAAAAAUUCGAUUAUUUAUGUUCAAACUAAAAUUCGAAUUCGAGAUAUUUUAUUAAUUAAAAUAAUUAAAUAUAUUAUAAUAUAAAAACUCAAUUAAACUUUUAAGUAAUUCGAAUCGAAUAUAAAAAUGUUUGAAUUCGAUUUAAUCGAUAAAUCAAAUUAUUCGAAUUCAAGUUUGAUUCAAUAAUAAUCGAAUUAAAUUUAAAUUUUAUUUUAAUUGAAUCUAAAUAACUUACAAGUACUAAUAUAUUAUUUAUACUCUUAAAUAUAAAUACAGGUCUUAUUAAAAAGUUUUAAGUUAAAAAAUUGAUGGUGAAUUCUCCUAGUCAUAACCAAAAUAAUCAUGUUUCAUGUUGGAAUUUGAAAUUCCCUUUUCAUAUAUACAUCAUUUAAUAAAUGCUUUGGCCACUCACUCAUAUGCUUUUUCCUAUCUAAAUAAAAAUAAUAUUUUAUUAAAAUUUAAAAUUACAUUAUUUUAUAAAAAGUUAUCUCCUUUGCAGAUAAUGAAGUUUUUAAAUUCUAAAAAUAUGAAGAUCACACAUAUAUAUAUAUAUAUAAAUUAAAAAUAUAUAUAUGAUAAUUUUUAAUCUUAUUUAUAAAAUAAAAAAAUUAUACUGUUAGCGUACUCUUAUUUUAUUAUUGAGUACAUAUAUAACAAAUUAAUCAACCAUACACCAAAAGUUGGUAGACCUAAUUAUCAACCAACCAAUGUUUUCACAUAAUUACAUAAUUAAAGUUUCAGUAUAACCCUUAAUGCUUUUCUUUUUUUUUCUAGGAUAAUAUUUUUAUAGGCACCUGGCAGAAUAUAAUUGUCAUUGUCUUUGGAAUAAUUUUAAUAAAUAAAAAAUUCGAAUGAACGGCCUAAUACAUAAAUAUAUUAACUAUAUGUGUACGUAUCGGACUGGACAAUCAUGUUGUAAUAAAUAAAUAAAAUAAAUAAGAGUACGAGAUUCAAUUAAGGAGGCAAGAACCUAAAUGAAAAAAAAGAACUGGAUUGAUGCUGCCUUUCUUUCACCCAACAUCUUGAUUGUGGAAAAAAAUUUAAAAGUAAAAAUGUUUAAAAAUUGUUUUGUUAACAUAAAAUUUUUCAUAUAUAUAUUUUUUUGUUCACAUGCGUAUUUAGAAAAUUAUUUAUUUUUUAAAAAAAAUUCAGUCCAAAGAAAAAUUAGUUUCGAAUCUCACUGGAGUUUUGGACUUCUGGGGUCUCAAAAAGAGUUGUUGGCGUUAGAUAGUUUUGUUCAUUUAUUUAAUGUGCCAAGACUCUUGAUUAAAACAAAAAAAUAAAUAAUUUUUUGUCUAAUUCUAUUGAAAUGUUUUAUUAUAAAAAUUUAAAUGAAAGCAAGUUAUUUCAUUUCAAAUCAAAGCAUAUUAUAAAUUUAAAGAAAAUUUACAUUAAUUUUAUUAAUCAUUCAUAAAAAAUCGUUUGCAAUGAAAAGUUAAAAAUCAAAUAUAAAUCUUAUGAACAAAACAUUCCGUUUUUAUCUAUUUAACCAACAUCCUUUAAACUAAUUUUAUUAAAUUGUUAUUAAAGAUUUCUGUACGUUACAUGCAUUAGGUAAAGGAAAAGGACCAGUAGAACAUUUAUAAAAAAGAAACUUGUUAAAGAUGCUUUUUUUUUUAUUGUACAAAUUAUAUACUAGCUUAAAUAUAUUUUUACAGAAAUUAUUAAUUAUAUUAACAGUUGAAAUUUUUAAUUUUAUAAGUGAAUUUAAGAUAAUGAUAUAUAUUUUUUAAUGUAUAUUUAAAACAUUAAAAAAUUUUAAUUAAAAAAAAUAUGUAUUAUUAUUUUAAUUUCAUUUAUAAAAUUAAAAAAUUUUAUGUUAAUAUAUCAAAUAAAUGGUUAGAGGGUUGUGAGAAUGUAAUUUUUUAUGAAUAUUUUAGAUUCAGUAUAAAUAAAUUUUAAGACAAAUGAAUAACUUGGAUAAAUUAAUAAAAUUAAUUUAUAUAAAAUCUUGGGGUUGAAAAUUUGGUAUGGUGAUAAAUAAUGGGAAGAAAAAAAAAGAAAAAAAGAAACAAAUUUAGUUUCUUUUUUUUUUUUAAUAAAAACUCGUUUAAGGAAAUGAUAAGUAUAAAAAAAUAAAUAAAUAAUGGGAUAAAAGGUUCCAGAUGAUCCAUUGGACCCUUAAAGCUCCAGCCCUUAGCUGGUGGUUAGUGUGGUCCACAGACCCAAACACAACACAACUGAUGUUACCCAAACAUUAGUAAUGGUGAGAUUGGUAAAAAAAUGUGGCCUAAAAUCACCGUACGGGUCCAAUCAAACCAAUGAGGCCUAAUGUUCUAGCUAUUUUGAUUAACUGCUUGUCUUUUGGGUUUUAAGGAAAAGAUUUUGACCAACGUGUUUAAAUAUAAUUUUACUAUAAUAAAAUCUUGUAUAUGAUUUUUUAAAUUCAAAAUUAAUUUGACAUGACUAAAAUUAUUAUUAUAUUAAUAAAUAAUAUAUUUAUUUAAUUUUAUUUAAAAUAUUAAAAUAUUAAUAUUAAAAGUUUUUUAAUAUUUUUAUAAUUCUAUUCAAAUAAGAUUUUGAACAUGAUAGCUUAAGUUUGAGUUUGAUUUGAUUCAACUUGAAAUAUCAUUAUAUUAAUAAAAUAUUUUAUUUAAGUUUAAUUAAAAAGUUAAUAUAUUAACAUUAAAAGUCUUUUGAUAUUUUGAUUUUAAAUAUUUUUUGUAUAUUAUUAAAUAUAAAUAUUUUAAUAUUUCAAUAAUAAACAAUAUUCUAUUAUUAUAUUAAUAAUAAACAAUAACAUAUUUAACAAUAUUUUUAUUAUUCUAAUAAUUAAUAUUAAAUAAUAUAAUAAUAUUAUUUUAGUAAUAUGAAUAUUUUUAGUAAUUUCUUAAUUUUUUAGUUUAAAAUAUAUUAUUUAUAUUUUAUCUAUUAAGGUAUUUAUAUUACUAUUUUAACAAUAAAUAUAAAAAAAGAAUUGUUUUUGUUAAGAUUUAAUAAUAAAUACUUUUAAAAUAAAAAAUAAAUAUUUUAAUACUAUAAAUAUUUUGAUAUUUUAAAAAUAAAUAUUACUAUUUUAAUAUUAUAAUAAUUAUAAAAAUAAUAUUUUAAGAAUAGUAAUAUUAUUUUAAAUAUUUUAAUUUGUUAAUAUAAAGAAUAAUAAAUAGUUUUUUAUCUGUUUUUUAUAUUAGUAUAAUAUUUUAAUUUUAAAUAUUAAUAAAAUAUAAUUAUUUUUAAUAUUAAUAAUUUUAAUAGUAAAUAAUUUCAAAAUACUUUAAUAAUAGAUAAUUCUAAUAUUUAUGUCAAUAUUAUUUUUUUAAAAUUAAAAUUUUAAAAAAAUCAGAUAACAAAAAAUAUUUUCAUUGACUCAUGACUCAUCCAAAUAAUAGAUAAUAUAACUUUUUCCAAAAAUAUAAACAUUUUCUAUAAAAUAUUUUUUGAAAGUUAAUUUCCGUAAAACAAGCGAACCUUUUUGUUUAUUUUGGCAAUAAAAAAUAAAACAAACAAAAAAAAUGAAUAUACAAAACUAAAAACAAAAUAAUAAAAGUAAAAGCAUUUAUUAAAUGAGCUUGUUAUAAAAUUGUUUUUUAUCACCUAGUUUGUACCAUUUAUGAGUAGUCCAUUAACUAGGUUUGACAAUUUGUAUUCUCAUAUUGUGUUUCAUGCCAUAUUGAGAAGUGUAAUGAUAUGAAUUAUUGAAAUAUAAAUAUAAUAUGAAUUAUAAAAUAUAUUUAAAUUUUGAACACGACAUGUUUAUUAUACGUAUUACAUGCGACAUGAUAUAAUUAACAUAUGUAUAAUUAAUUUAUUUACACAUGAUAAAAAUAAAUACGAAUAACACGAAUAUAUAUGAAUAGAUAUGACUAAUAUGUAUAUAUACGAAUAAACACGACUAACUUGAAUAUAUAUAAAAAUAUGACUAAAAUAAUAAAUAAUUAUAAAUUAUCAAUCAAUUACAACUUAAUAAAUUUGAUGUACUACUUGCAUAUUAAAAAUAAUAAAAAAAUUAAAUACCCAUUUAAUAUGUACUUAAUAUAUAUAUUUAAAUUUUAAUAUAUAUUACAUAACUAUAAUAAUUUUUAGUAUUAAAUUCAAAAUGAUAAAUUAUUGAAGAUUAAAAAAUAAAAUAAUGAUGUAUAAGACUAGUAUUAAUAUUUAUAUUUUAUUUAUAUUAUUAAUAUAAAAAUAAUUUUAUAAUAAUUAUUAAAUAAGUAUCAUAAUGCAAGGUUUAAAAUAAUCUUUAUAUGCUAUUGAAAAACUAAUUAAGUAUCGUAAUUAAAAAAUUAAAAAUUAAAAUAAUUUUUAUGUGUUUAUAUUAAAUUAAAGUACAUAUAAAAAAUAUUUUAAAUACGGACUCAUAUGACAAAAAUAAAUUAAAUAUAUUUUUUGUGUCAGAAUACAUGUUAACAUGUAUCCGUAUGAUAUAUUUUAUCUAAACGCGACUUUCGUGUCUUACACAUUUAGAUUUAUCGAUAAAUAUUUAGAUGUAUUAAUACAUAUACCAUAUAAAUUAUAUCAUAUGAAAAUUUAUAUCAAUACAAAUAAAUAUAAAACAUAUUUUUUUAAAAUAUGUAUAUAUUAUUUUUUAUAUUAAUUUUAUAUCAUAUCAUCAUAUUAUAUAUGAAAUUAUCAGAUCUAUCAAUAUCUGAAAUGUCUUGCAAAAUAUAUGAUUUCAUAUUUUUGGAACAGUAUACAGCAAGCAUAGUAUCAGAGUAACCUCCAUAUGUAGUAGUUCCAACAAAAGUGCUUUGCCACUAAUUUUCAAGAUUCUUAGUGCAGUCACCGCAGGAGUGACAUGACUCAACCAUGCAACUUUAUCUUCAAUUUUGAUUUUUUUAACUUAUAGAAUAAAACCAGCAAAAUUAUAAUAUUCAAAAUUUAAAUUUAUUAAAUAUUAUUUUCUUAUAAAUAAUUAUAUAACUAAAAUUAAAUAUCACCUCUGUCACUGAACCAACAAUCUCAUGAGAUUGUUGAGAGUUGUUUAUAAUCUAUUAACCUACGCUUAAUUUAAUAAAUAGUGCGUGGACACUUGGACAGGCAACGUUGAUUUUAUACUGCAGGCUCCCAGGCUCCUCUGGCAAAACAGUUGCAAGCACUGCCUCCUGUUGUCUACCCACAUUAGCCAGUUCGGUAACCACUCUAAGCUUAUCAAAAUUCAUGUUUGCACCGCUAGUUAUUGCUACAACAUUCUUUCCCUUAAGGCUGUAAUAUUUGCAAUAUGCUUCAGCUCCCGCAAGGGCUAGGGCACCUGCUGGUUCCAGAAUGCUCCUCUUCUCUUCAAACAUGUCCUGCAACACAAGCAGUACAGCUGUAAAUCCUAAGCAUUCAAACAACCAUGUGUUAAUUAGAUGAAGGCCAUCAGUUAUCCAACAAAAACCAAUAGCACUAGUCAUACUGGAGAGACAACAUUAGACACGAGGAGAGAGAAAAAAUCAUAAGAAGGGCUUCUAACAUCCAUAAGGUUAAGAAUAAAUAAUUAGAGAACAAAUGGUGAUGGGGACAGGCCACACUCUUUCCCGAAAUGGGAAAUAGAACACCAUAAAACUGCAUAAAAAAUUCAAGUUAAACACCCAAUUUGUGAGCAAAACUAACCAGAAGUGAACUACCUUCAUAUGAAGAACCAAAGGCACAUUCCAAUUCCUAAAAUACUACAUCUAGAAUCCAAGUUAAAUCAAAGGUACAAUAUAUUUGAGCUAGAAAUUUGACACUUUGUUUCAAAUUACAAUUUUAGGUAUUUCAAGCCAGCAUUUCAGUUGUUUGCUCAAUUCACAACUGUAUCAUACAAGGACAGAAACGAAUAACUAAAAUAAAGAUUGACAACCUUAAGCUGUAUGUUAAGAGGCACAAAUGGCUCAAUGCAAAGAAGCCAUACCUUUAUAGAGGCACAAAUAGCAUCAUGGUUUACAAGAACGACACCAUCCACCAAUUUCCUACAUAAGCGAAAGGUUUCUUCACCGACUUCCUUAACAGCUACUCCAUCUGCAAAGCCCCCAACCUGGUCCAACAUCACUCUUUCGCCAUGAUGAAGCGACAAUGCCAUUGCAUUUGCAUCAAAAGGCUCCACUCCAAUAAUCUUCACCUGUAUAGUAAUACAACACUAAGUGAUGUGGAUGAAUUACGUCAUGCAGCAAGGAACAAGCACAUUCAAUGUAAUUUCAAACAAGAUAUAGUAUAUGUUUAUAUGAAGGACCCACAUACCCUCGGGGAAACCCUCUUAACAUAAGCAGCAAUGCCAGCUACAAGCCCACCACCACCAAUAGGUACAAAGAUUGCAUGCAAUGGGCCUGGCAUUUGGCGCACAAUCUCCAUCCCAACAGUGCCUUGUCCCAUGAUAACAUCUGGAUGGUCAAAAGGGGGAAUAAAUGUUCGACCUUCCUCUUUAGCCCGUUUUUUAGCAUAUGUUUGUGCCUCAUUAUAAGAAUCUCCAACGAGAACAACAGUUGCGCCCAACCUCUCAACAGAAUGCCACUGCAAAACAAGAAACCAAACAUUCAAAUUAAGAAACCUUAUGUGCUAUGCAAUUGAUACAAAAAACAUCACAAAAUAGCACCUUAAUUUCUGGUGUGGUAACAGGCAUAGCAAUAACAGCAUUGCAACCGAGUCUCUUGGCAGCCAAUGCGACCCCUUGGGCAUGAUUUCCUGCUGAUGAGCAAAUAACCCCUCUUUCUAACUGUCCCUUCGGAAGCUUUGCCAUCAUAUUAUAAGCUCCACGAAGCUUAAAAGAGAAAACCUGAAAAUAUGAAACAUCAAAUCUGUAAGCACUUUAUCUGAAUAUGAAAAACAAUAUUGAACUACAAAAAGAAAAGAUUUCCGCUUUGGCAAUUCAUUAACAGAUUAUAAAAACAAAGACUAAAUUCAACUAAAAAAACAUGUGAAUAUUUACUCAUAACAUCAAUGCAUCUCAGAGCACAUAAAUAAAAAACAAAUAGGGUUUAAUCCAAGCUAAAAAAAAACCAGUCCGUUAAGCUUAAAAUAAGUAAAGCAAAAUCAUAGAAUAUAAACAGUAUUAACUCCCAACACCUCACCAAUCAUAGAAACAAAUAUCAUUAGAAAUGAAAACCCAAAAACCUAAAAGAAAAAAAAAAUAACAAGAAGAUAUUUCGCCAAAUACAAAUUAAAAACCAAAAACUAGAACCUCAAUGGUUGCAAUUUUUAAAUGGAAAAAAGAACCCAAAUCAUGAAAUAAUCCCCCGAAAAAAAAAUCAAUCUUUCAAAAAAAUGAAAACUUUUCUUACAGGCUGUAAAUCUUCUCUCUUAAGCCAAACUUGAUUACCCAAUCGUUCAGACAACUUAGUCGCCAACUGUAACGGUGACUCUAUCGCCACAUCAUAAACCUUCGACGACAAAAUAUUCGUUAAAUACUCCAUCGCAUUUACUACGUCGCCGUUUCCUUCAUCCAUUGAACGUUCCGGUACCGCGCCUAAGUAACCUGACGGAUACCGCAGGGAAUUAGCAGACACCUUCUUCGGCGGCGCAGAAGGAACCACAGCAGAAGUUGACGACGACGAAACGAAGCGUUAUCGAGAGAAGUAACGGUCGGAGAAGAGAUAUCAGCCAUCGGUUUCGACACAGCGGCUCUGAUCCACGGGCGGAUACAUUUCUUUGUAAUGUGGCGCGCAGUAAAUGAUGUAGUUGGGACCCUCUCUUUGUGGCGGAGUAGCGGCGGAUGAGGUGGCGUGAGGCGAAGAGCCUCCAUUGGUUUUAAAUUUUUGAAAAUUUAAAGAAAAAAAAUAGAAAAACCAAAGAGAAAACGUGGUGGUGAAAAGAAAAUACGCUUUCUAACUCUAAGACGUCGGGCGGCUUUUGGAGGGGACCUUAUAGUUUAUAAAGACAAAGGAGGGAGGGUAAAUGGUUUUUCAUUUGGCGCAAUUUUUGGAGUGAACAAAUGGAGGCUAUGAAAGAUUGACACCUGGUGAAAAUGACGUAAGCAUGUCACUGUACCUGACGGGUUUCGUGCACUGCGGGUGACGGAUGGUAAGUGUUCUAUUUUAAAAUGCACAAGGAAGGAGUGUGCUCCGUUGACUCGAAACUCAACACCGUGAGACAACAGACCAGACACGCUGUGUGGAAAGAAAGAUGGAGCGAGUUUCAUUCAAUUUCAAGUAAGUUUUCGGUUGGAAUUUCCUUUUUAUUUUUUAUUUUAAGAGAAGAAAAUUCACACCCUUCCAAUAGGUAUUGUUGAGUCUCAAAUGUGAAAUUUUCAUAUUUGUUAGGAUGCAUUUCAAUGUAAAAAAGAAAAAAGAAAAAAAAGCUAACAAAUAUAUUUUUAAUUUCAUGAUAUAAAAAAUGAAACUCUUUAUCUGUAAUUAUAUAAUCAUAAUUUAAAUUUAUUUAAAAUUUAUUGCUUAUAAAUAUAGCAGUGAGGAUUUUACGUAAUAUUUUAUGAUUAAUUAAUUUUAUGACAUUAAUUUCGUAUAAUAUUCUAAAAAAAGAAAAAAACAUUGUUUCAAGGUGACAAUCAAUGUCAUGAAAUACAAUGUUAAAGAUGAAUUUUUGUUAUUUGUCUUGGGUUAUUUAUGUUGGCUUAUUAGAAUUAUUGAUUGUUAUGUCAUGCGAAAAUGACUACAAAGUUAGGCCAAAUUAACAAAGAUUAUCGUCAAAGCUUAAUUAUAUAAAAUUAAGGCCAAACAAAGAUUAGCUCAAUCUAUGCCUAAGAUUAAAAAUCUUUCAUCAGUGGCUGAGAAAAUAUGAAACAUUACUCGAACACUACUAAAUCAUCAUCUUAAUCAAGAGAGGACAUUCUAAAAUCUUUACUAUAAAAUUAGGCCAACGAGUAUUGUCAAAUCUUAAUUAUAUAAAAUUAAGACCAAACAAAGAUUAGCUCAAUCUAUGCCUAAACUUAAAAAUCUAUAAAAUUUCAUUAGUGGCUAAGAAAUUACGAACGUUCCUCGAACACUAAUAAAUCGUCAUCUUAAUUUGAAAAAUGACAUACUAAAAUCUUUACUACAAAGUUAGGCCAAAUUAAGAAAGAUUAUCGUCAAAGCUUAAUUAUAUAAAAUUAAGGCUAAACAAUGAUUAGCUCAAUCCCUACCUAAGCCUAAAAUAUCUAGAAAUUUUCUUUAGUGGCUAAAACUUUAUAAAUGUUACUCGAAUACUACUAAAUCAUCGUCCUAAGCUAAAAAGGGACACUCUAAAAUUCUUAAAUUUAGGUGAAUUUCGUUUAAUGUUUUGUUAAUUUAUUACUUUUUUAUAAUACAAUAAUACUUAUAUCAUAUCCGUUGAAUAAUGCUCAUUAAAUUGUAUAAUUUGUAUUCCUAUAACUAAUGUUGUAAAAAAGUAAACAUUGUUUGUCAUUAAUUAAUACUAAUUAUGCUGUGGACUAAUGCUUGACUUCAUCUCCUUAGAUACGGUGUUGUGAAUUUAAGUCAUUUUAAAUUAGGGAAUGGUCACGUGGGUUUAAGUCAUUUUAAAUUAGGGAAAUAAAAGGAAGGUGGAUAAGUACGUGCAUGUGAGUUAAAGUCAUCAGUUUUGUACAAAAAAUAUUGUAAAAAUUCUUACUUGACACAAAAGAGGUGGCCAUAUGCUAAAAAAGUAAUUAAGGAUAUAAAUAGGAGUAUAAUCGAUUAAAUUGGAAUUGAUAUAGUAUUAAAUUUAAGUUUAAAUUUGACUUUAAAUUUGAGAUUUAAAAUUCGGUUCAAAUUUAAUUAAAUUUUAUUUUUUUAAUUAAAGUUCAAUUCGAAAUAAAAAUUAAGUCAUUCCAGCUCGCUUGAUUAACAUGUAAAAAUAAAUUUUAUUUUUAUAUUUGAUAAAAGUUCGAUUAUUUAUGUUCAAACUAAAACUCGAAUUCGAGAUAUUUUAUUAAUUAAAAUAAUUAUAAUAUAUUAUAAUAUAAAAACUCAAUUAAACUUUUAAGUAAUUCGAAUCGAAUAUAAAAAUGUUUGAAUUCGAUUUAAUCGAUAAAUUAAAUUAUUCGAAUUUAAGUUUGAUUCAAUAAUAAUCGAAUUAAAUUUAAAUUUUAUUUUAAUUGAAUCUAAGUAACUUACAAGUACUAAUAUAUUAUUUAUACUCUUAAAUAUAAAUACAGGUCUUAUUAAAAAGUUUUAAGUUAGAAAAUUGACGGUGGAUUCUCCUAGUCAUAACCAAAAUAAUGAUGUUUCAUGUUGGAAUUUGAAAUUCCCUUUUCAUAUAUACAUCAUUUAAUAAAUGCUUUGGCCACUUACUCAUAUGCUUUUUCCUAUCUAAAUAAAAAUAAUAUUUUAUUAAAAUUUAAAAUUACAUUAUUAUAUAAAAAGUUAUCUCCUUUGCAGAUAAUAAAGUUUUUAAAUUCUAAAAAUAUGAAGAUCACACACACAUAUAUAUAUAUAUAUUAAAAAUAUAUAUAUGAUAAUUUUUAAUCUUAUUUAUAAAAUAAAAAAAUUAUACUGUUAGCGUACUCUUAUUUUAUUAUUGAGUACAUAUAUAACAAAUUAAUCAACCAUACACCAAAAGUUGGUAGACCUAAUUAUCAACCAACGAAUGUUUUCACAUAAUUACAUAAUUAAAGUUUCAGUAUAACCCUUAGCUUUUUUUUUUUAAUUUUCUAGGAUAAUAUUUUUAUAGCACCUGGCAGAAUAUAAUGUCAUUGUCUUUGAAUAAUUUUUAAAAAUAAAAAAUUGAAUGAACCCAAUACCUAAAUAUAUAACUAUAUGUGUACGUAUCGGACUGACAAUCAUGUGUAAAAUAAAUAAAUAAAUAAAUAAAAUAAAUAGAAGACGAGAUUCAAUUAAAGAGGACAAGAAAACCUAAAUAAAAGAAAGACUGGAUUGAUGCUGCCUUUCUUUCAACCCAACAUCUUGAUGUGGAAAAAAAUUUUAAAAAGUAAAAAAAUGUUAAAAACUUGGUUGUUACAUAAAUUUUUCAUAUAUAUAUUUUUGUGUUUCACAUGCUAUUUAAAAAUUAUUUAUUUUUUAAAAAAAUCAGUCCAAAGAAAAUUAGUUCAUCUCACUGGAGUUUGGACUUUUGGGGUCUCAAAAAGAGUUGUUGGCGUUAGAUAGUUUUGUUCAUUUAUUUAAUGUGCCAAGACUCUUGAUUAAAACAAAAAAAUAAAUAAUUUAUUGUCUAAUUCUAUUGAAAUGUUUUAUUAUAAAAAUUUAAAUGAAAGCAAGUUAUUUCAUUUCAAAUCAAAGCAUAUUAUAAAUUUUAAAGAAAAUUUACAUUAAUUUUAUUAAUCAUUCAUAAAAAAUCGUUUGCAAUAAAAAGUUAAAAAUCAAAUAUAAAUCUUAUGAACAAAACAUUCCGUUUUUAUCUAUUUAACCAACAUCCUUUAAACUAAUUUUAUUAAAUUGUUAUUAAAGAUUUUAUAUACGCUGCAUGCAUUAGGUAUAGGAAAAGGACCAGUAGAACAUUUAUAAAAAAGAAACUUGUUAAAGAUGCUUUUUUUUUUGUACAAAUUAUAUACUAGAUUAAAUUGUUUUUAGAGAAGUUAUUAAUUAUAUUAACAGUUGAAAUUUUUAAGUUUAUAAGUGAAUUUAAGAUAAUGAUAUAUAUUUUUUAAUGUAUAUUUAAAACAUUAAAAAAUUUUAAUUAAAAAAAAUAUGUAUUAUUAUUUUAAUUUCAUUUAUAAAAUUAAAAAAUUUUAUGUUAAUAUAUCAAAUAAAUAUAUCAAAUAAAUGGUUAGAGGGUUGUGAGAAUGUAAUUUUUUAUGAAUAUUUUAGAUUCAGUAUAAAUAAAUUUUAAGAUAAAUGAAUAACUUGGAUAAAUUAAUAAAAUUAAUUUAUAUAAAAUCUUGGGGUUGAAAUUUUGGUAUGGUGAUAAAUAAUGGGAAAAAAAAAAGAAAAAAAGAAACAAAUUUAGUUUCUUUUUUUUUUAAAUAAAAACUCGUUUAAGGAAAUGAUAAGUAUAAAAAAAUAAAUAAAUAAUGGGAUAAAAGGUUCCAGAUGGUCCAUUGGACCCUUAAAGCUCCAGCCCUAAGCUGGUGUGUUAUUUAGUUUCUUUUUUUUUUUUUAAUAAAAACUCGUUUAAGGGAAUGAUAAGUAUAAAAAAAUAAAUAAAUAAUGGGAUAAAAGGUUCCAGAUGAUCCAUUGGACCCUUAAAGCUCCAGCCCUUAGCUGGUGUGUUAGUGUGGUCCACAGACCCAAACACAACACAACUGAUGUUACCCAAACAUUAGUAAUGGUGAGAUUGGUCAAAAAACGUGGCCUAAAAUCACCGUACCGGGUCCAAUCAAAACCAAAUGAGGCCUAAAUGUUCUAGCUAUAUUUGAUAACUGCUUGUCUUUUGGGUUUUAAGGAAAAGAUUUUUGACCAAUGUGUUUAAAUAUAAUUUUACUUUAAUAAAAUCUUGUAUAUGAUUUUUUAAAUUCAAAAUUAAUUUGACAUGACUAAAAUUAUUAUUAUAUUAAUAAAUAAUAUAUUUAUUUAAUUUUAUUUAAAAAAUUAAAAUAUUAAUAUUAAAAGUUUUUUAAUAUUUUUAUAAUUCUAUUCAAAUAAGAUUUUGAACAUGAUAGCUUAAGUUUGAGUUUGAUUUGAUUCAACUUGAAAUAUCAUUAUAUUAAUAAAAAUAUUUUAUUUAAGUUUAAUUAAAAAGUUAAUAUAUUAACAUUAAAAGUCUUUUGAUAUUUUGAUUUUAAAUAUUUUUUGUAUAUUAUUAAAUAUAAAUAUUUUUAAUAUUUCAAUAAUAAACAAUAUUCUAUUAUUAUAUUAAUAAUAAACAAUAACAUAUUUAACAAUAUUUUUAUUAUUCUAAUAAUUAAUAUUAAAUAAUAUAAUAAUAUUAUUUUAGUAAUAUGAAUAUUUUUAGUAAUUUCUUAAUUUUUUAGUUUAAAAUAUAUUAUUUAUAUUUUAUUUAUUAAGGUAUUUUAUUACUAUUUUAACAAUAAAUAUAAAAAAGAAUUGUUUUUGUUAAGAUUUAAUAAUAAAUACUUUUAAAAUAAAAAAUAAAUAUUUUAAUACUAUAAAUAUUUUGAUAUUUUAAAAAUAAAUAUUACUAUUUUAAUAUUAUAAUAAUUAUAAAAAUAAUAUUUUAAGAAUAGUAAUAUUAUUUUAAAUAUUUUAAUUUGUUAAUAUAAAGAAUAAUAAAUAGUUUUGUUUUAUGUGUUUUUUAUAUUAGUAUAAUAUUUUAAUUUUAAAUAUUAAUAAAAUAUAAUUAUUUUUAAUAUUAAUAAUUUUAAUAGUAAAUAAUUUCAAAAUACUUUAAUAAUAAAUAAUUCUAAUAUUUAUGUCAAUAUUAUUAUUUUUUAAAUAAAAUUUUAAAAAAAUCAGAUAACAAAAAAUAUUUUCAUUGACUCAUGACUCAUCCAAAUAAUAGAUAAUAUCACUUUUUCCAAAAAUAUAAACAUUUUCUAUAAAAUAUUUUUUGAAAGUUAAUUUCCGUAAAACAAGCGAACCUUUUUGUUUAUUUUGGCAAUAAAAAAUAAAACAAACAAAAAGAAUGAAUAUACAAAACUAAAAACAAAAUAAUAAAAGUAAAAGCGUUUAUUAAAUGAGCUUAAAUGUUGAUAAACUUGUUUUUUAUCACCUAGUUUGUACCAUUUAUGAGUAGUCCAUUAACUAGGUUUGACAAUUUGUAUUCUUAUAUUGUGUUUAUGUCAUAUUGAGAAGUGUAAUUAUACGAAUUAUUGAAAUACAAAUAUAGCAUGAAUUAUAAAAUAUAUUUAAAUUUUGAAUACAACACGUUUAUUAUAUGUAUUACAUGCGAUACGAUAUAAUUAACAUAUAUAUAAUUAAUUUAUUUACACAUGAUAUGAACAAAUAUGAAUAAUACGGAUAUACACGAAUAGAUACGACUAAUAUAUAUAUAUAUACGAAUAAACACGACUAAUAUUAAUAUAUAUAAAAAUAUGACUAAAAUAAUAAAUAAUUAUAAAUUAUCAAUCAAUUACAACUUAAUAAAUUUGAUAUACGACUUGCAUAUUAAAAAUAAUAAAAAAAUUAAAUACCCAUUUAAUAUGUACUUAAUAUAUAUAUUUAAAUUUUAAUAUAUAUUACAUAACUAUAAUAAUUUUUAGUAUUAAAUUCAAAAUGAUAAAUUAUUGAAGAUUAAAAAAUAAAAUAAUGAUGUAUAAGACUAGUAUUAAUAUUUAUAUUUUAUUUAUAUUAUUAAUAUAAAAAUAAUUUUAUAAUAAUUAUUAAAUGAGUAUCAUAAUUCAAUGUUUAAAAUAAUCUUUAUAUGCUAUUGAAAAACUAAUUAAGUAUCGUAAUUAAAAAAUUAAAAAUUAAAAUAACUUUUAUAUGUUUAUAUUAAAUUAAAGUACAUAUAAAAAUAUUUUAAAUGCAGACUCAUAGGACAAAAAUAAAUUAAAUAUAUUUUUUGUGUCAGAAUACAUGUUAACAUGUAUCCGUAUGAUACAUUUUAUCUAAACGUGUCUUACAUAUAUUUAGAUUUAUUAAUAAAUAUUUAAACGUACCAAUACAUAUACUGUAUAAAUUAUAUCAUAUGAAAAUUUAUAUCAAUACAAAUAAAUAUAAAACAUAUUUUUUUAAAAUAUGUAUAUAUUAUUUUUUAUAUUAAUUUUAUAUCAUAUCAUCAUAUUAUAUAUGAAAUUAUCAGAUCUAUCAAUAUCCGAAAUGUCUUGCAAAAUUUAUGAUUUCAUAUUUUUGGAACAGUAUACAGCAAGCAUAGUAUCAGAGUAACCUCCAUAUGUAGUAGUUCCAACAAAAGUGCUUUGCCACUAAUUUUCAAGAUUCUUAGUGCAGUCACCGCAGGAGUGACAUGACUCAACCAUGCAACUUUAUCUUCAAUUUUGAUUUUUUUAACUUAUAGAAUAAAACCAGCAAAAUUAUAAUAUUCAAAAUUUAAAUUUAUUAAAUAUUAUUUUCUUAUAAAUAAUUAUAUAACUAAAAUUAAAUAUCACCUCUGUCACUGAACCAACAAUCUCAUGAGAUUGUUGAGAGUUGUUUAUAAUCUAUUAACCUACGCUUAAUUUAAUAAAUAGUGCGUGGACACUUGGACAAGCAACGUUGAUUUUAUACUGCAGGCUCCCAGGCUCCUCUGGCAAAACAGUUGCAAGCACUGCCUCCUGUUGUCUACCCACAUUAGCCAGUUCGGUAACCACUCUAAGCUUAUCAAAAUUCAUGUUUGCACCGCUAGUUAUUGCUACAACAUUCUUUCCCUUAAGGCUGUAAUAUUUGCAAUAUGCUUCAGCUCCCGCAAGGGCUAGGGCACCUGCUGGUUCCAGAAUGCUCCUCUUCUCUUCAAACAUGUCCUGCAACACAAGCAGUACAGCUGUAAAUCCUAAGCAUUCAAACAACCAUGUGUUAAUUAGAUGAAGGCCAUCAGUUAUCCAACAAAAACCAAUAGCACUAGUCAUACUGGAGAGACAACAUUAGACACGAGGAGAGAGAAAAAAUCAUAAGAAGGGCUUCUAACAUCCAUAAGGUUAAGAAUAAAUAAUUAGAGAACAAAUGGUGAUGGGGACAGGCCACACUCUUUCCCGAAAUGGGAAAUAGAACACCAUAAAACUGCAUAAAAAUUCAAGUUAAACACCCAAUUUGUGAGCAAAACUAACCAGAAGUGAACUACCUUCAUAUGAAGAACCAAAGGCACAUUCCAAUUCCUAAAAUACUACAUCUAGAAUCCAAGUUAAAUCAAAGGUACAAUAUAUUUGAACUAGAAAUUUGACACUUUGUUUCAAAUUACAAUUUUAGGUAUUUCAAGCCAGCAUUUCAGUUGUUUGCUCAAUUCACAACUGUAUCAUACAAGGACAGAAACGAAUAACUAAAAUAAAGAUUGACAACCUUAAGCUGUAUGUUAAGAGGCACAAAUGGCUCAAUGCAAAGAAGCCAUACCUUUAUAGAGGCACAAAUAGCAUCAUGGUUUACAAGAACGACACCAUCCACCAAUUUCCUACAUAAGCGAAAGGUUUCUUCACCGACUUCCUUAACAGCUACUCCAUCUGCAAAGCCCCCAACCUGGUCCAACAUCACUCUUUCGCCAUGAUGAAGCGACAAUGCCAUUGCAUUUGCAUCAAAAGGCUCCACUCCAAUAAUCUUCACCUGUAUAGUAAUACAACACUAAGUGAUGUGGAUGAAUUACGUCAUGCAGCAAGGAACAAGCACAUUCAAUGUAAUUUCAAACAAGAUAUAGUAUAUGUUUAUAUGAAGGACCCACAUACCCUCGGGGAAACCCUCUUAACAUAAGCAGCAAUGCCAGCUACAAGCCCACCACCACCAAUAGGUACAAAGAUUGCAUGCAAUGGGCCUUGCAUUUGGCGCACAAUCUCCAUCCCAACAGUGCCUUGUCCCAUGAUAACAUCUGGAUGGUCAAAAGGGGGAAU